AUGCAGUCGAGCGCGACGGUCCUUCGGGACUUAUUAGAGCGGCGGACGGGUGAGUAAUGCAUAGGAAUCUGCCCAGUAGUGGGGGAUAGCCCGGGGAAACCCGGAUUAAUACCGCAUACGUCCUACGGGAGAAAGCAGGGGAUCUUCGGACCUUGCGCUAUUGGAUGAGCCUAUGUCGGAUUAGCUUGUUGGUGGGGUAACGGCCCACCAAGGCAACGAUCCGUAGCUGGUCUGAGAGGAUGAUCAGCCACACUGGGACUGAGACACGGCCCAGACUCCUACGGGAGGCAGCAGUGGGGAAUAUUGCACAAUGGGGGAAACCCUGAUGCAGCCAUGCCGCGUGUGUGAAGAAGGCCUUCGGGUUGUAAAGCACUUUCAGUAGGGAGGAAG
RNAcentral lists this ribosomal RNA (390 nucleotides) under Microbulbifer sp. RNAcentral describes it as "bacterial SSU rRNA". It matches the Rfam family "Bacterial small subunit ribosomal RNA", at positions 55 to 450 of the family's 1533-position model. The record is from RNAcentral. Lineage: Bacteria; Pseudomonadati; Pseudomonadota; Gammaproteobacteria; Cellvibrionales; Microbulbiferaceae.